Molecule: long non-coding RNA, 2385 nt
Filed under: Anser brachyrhynchus (Pink-footed goose)
Lineage: Eukaryota; Metazoa; Chordata; Aves; Anseriformes; Anatidae
Description: lncRNA (ENSABRG00000019887.1)
Source: RNAcentral
UUUUUUAACAUGUACUGUUUUGUAUAGAGUUCCCCCCCAGUGCCUGACUUUUGUCCCUAAUUAACACCUGACGAGGGGGACGAGGACAGCUGAGAUCCUUCAGGAGGACACUUCUGGGCAGAGCUACUAACCCACCACCCAGUGAGGGCGGGGUCCAUAAGUCAUGAAUAACAGGGGGAGGAGAUAAUUAUUGUUUGUGGUGGAAGGAGAUGAUAGAUGGCAUCUUCACAUGCUGGGGCUUGGGUUUUUUUUUUUUUUUUUUUUUGGCUCUGCUUGCAUUUCCAGUGCCUUACAGCUGGCCUCAUGAUGUACAGGAGGCACUUCAGGACCUGGACCUCAUGCUUCCCUUUCAGAACAAAUUGGAUUCACACAAGAGAAAGUAAACCAAAACCAAAACUCAUUUUAAAAGCUUGCAGGAUCAUCUCACCACUGAUUAGGUAGCAGAGUGAGAAGGGAGGGUACAGAAGGUCCUGUUGCCGUCUGUUUGUUAGAAGAGUGGAGAGCCUCACUUGACUCCUUGUCUAAUGAAAAGUUUUUUUUCUGUUUUGCUUUUUUUUCUUCUCUUCCUCAGCUUUUGAGAGAGCAGGCUGUGUGGGUUGGGAGGUGGAAAAGCAAAAUGCUAAUGGAGCUGUUUUCCAUCACAAAUGUCUGUCCUCCCAUGGGCUGGCCUGGGCUGAUCCUUCCCCAUUGUGGUGGCUUUGCUGUCCCAGACGUCUCACGUUAGCAAGGUUUAGCUGCCUCUAUCAGAAGGCAUGCCUGACCAUAAAUGAUCAUCCCAGAAACAUAACUUCUUUUGGCUGCAGCCCAGCCUGCGCUGGGGGAUGACUAAUGGCCACGAUAGCGAGCGGUCCUGGAUCUUUUCCCCUACUUGGAGUCCUGCAGCUCACACGUGAGGCCACACAGGCUGCAUUCAGACAGGGGUGAGGGAAGAGCCCAAAGCUGCUUUAGACCAGACUUGGUACCACCCCCAUCCAGAGGGACCACUUAAUCUCAUGGGCUCAUUCAAAUUGAUGUUGAGGAUCCUGCUGAUGAUGAUUCUGACUGAUAAAAGAAUGAAGUCUCCUGUUCACUGCAGAGAGAUGCUGCUGCCAGAGCAGUGCUUUCGCUGCCACAGAAACAAAUGCACCCUCAGGAUUUAUCUCAGUCCAGCGGAAAUAUGUUCUCUGCAAAACGUAAUGAAAGUACAGUUUGGUGUCACCAGAAUAUUAUUUCUCUUACCUAUCUCUUUUAGUUCUGUACAUGUGCAGGAAGAUGUCAGCUCUCUUCUUUGGAAGUAUGACAUUCCUAGAGGGACAUUUCUCUUCUGUUUUAUUUUCAUUUUAAAGAGAGGAUUAUUUUAUUUUAUUUCACCCAGCCCUCCAACAGCUUUUAUGUGGGGCUGGUGAGUGUGGAGAUCUCUCCUCCCACGCCUCCAGCUCCCGUGCCCGCUGGGCUGGUUGGAUGCUCUCCUGAUGUGGGAGAUUAGGUCCAAACCCCUCCAGGCAAGGAGGAACUUCAGUGCGCAUCUCCCACAUCCUAAACAGAUGCUUUAAUCCCUGAGAUAUUGCAUAAGGCAAGGGAGGGUACCUUUGUGAAGAAAAGACCUUUCCUUAGAUUUUUUUUUUAAAGGUGUUAAGCCAAAAAAACAGCAGCAGCUAGUUCAAGACCUCCUAAGCGAUGAAUUCUGUGAGAAAAGAGAUACUCAUCUCUCUGAACCUUACCAAUAUUUGCCUUUUAACCAUUUUUUACUGGCUAGCUUACAUGAAUCUUCAUCAACUCCUCUCCAGGUGACCCUAAAACAGACCUGGUUGCCUGUUGAGGCUUGAAUACCUAAUCCACCUCCUCUACACCUUCAUCAAAAUAUCUUGUUUGUUUGUUUGUUUUAAACACUUUGAUUUUUUUUGAAUGACAGGCACCUCUAUAUAAAAUGUGUACCAUACAUGACUUUUAAACACCAAGAGCUCCGGCAUGGAUGAUUCAGCUCAUGCAUUUGCUUUUACUGCACACUUUAUACAUAUGAUAAAGAUGUUGUAUGCAAGGUUUUAUUAAGCUGUAGCUACUGCUCAUGCAGAUGUAUGGUGCUCCAUGACAUGUCAGAGGAGAAAUUAGUCUUUUGAUGAAAACUGUCUGAUCUUCUUUUGUAAGACACUUGGUGUGUGCAUGUGCUGCUUGUUUCAAAUCUGCCUAUGGAGACCAAGCAAAAUCCCUUCAGUCAUGAUAGAUAGCAGUUUGGUAUCAAGUAUCCUUUAUAAUUGCACACAGUGCAGUAUAUCUGUAAUCAUAAGCCUUGAGAGUAUUUUACUGCUUUCACCAUAAGCUUCUGCAGGCAAUGAAAAACAAACAAACAAAAGCACUCAUUGCUCUAUGUCAGCUCCAUCCUCCAAGACAAAACAUUUCCUCUCUUGG